This 521-nucleotide unclassified non-coding RNA is filed under the name Hevea brasiliensis (rubber tree). Lineage: Eukaryota; Viridiplantae; Streptophyta; Magnoliopsida; Malpighiales; Euphorbiaceae. The record is from RNAcentral.
GGGUCGUCCAUGAAGCAAAUAGGGGACAGGUAAUGCUCAUACACCAAGGCAUCCUCACAAAAAUACGAGGAAAAGACAACAUUAGUUUUAUGCAAAUAGAAGUCAAUCACCCAAUAAGAAAAAAUGGUGGGCAUGUGGGAGAAUAUUCCAAACUCCAUGCACCUCAACAGUAGCACAAGAAGUCUGACAGACUCCCAGAGCAUCCUCCUAUAUAAGCAUUGAUAGAAAACCUUCAAGUCAAGGCUCAUUUGGAAAGGCAACGAGGGGAAGACAAUGCUUAAACAUCCAGAUCACUCAGCACAGGAGUAGGUAGACAAGCCCACAACAGUUAUGCACAAAAAAACGUGAAACUCUUCUGUUAUGUAGCACUAUGUGUGGUCAUUGAUUGCGUGUGUCGACUUGAAUCUUAAGACUUUAUUAGGUAGCUUAGAUAAUAAUGCAAAAUCUAUUGCAUUAACAAAAACUCACUCUCAUAUUUCACCCAAUAAUGAGAUACAGACUAAAAAUAGAUGAUCAAUGAU